GAGGGGCAACACCUGUUCCCAUCCCGAACACAGAAGUUAAGCCCUCCAGCGCCGAUGGUACUGCACUGGUAACGGUGUGGGAGAGUAGGUCACUGCCGGAA
RNAcentral lists this ribosomal RNA (101 nucleotides) under Bacillota bacterium. The record is from RNAcentral. Lineage: Bacteria; Bacillati; Bacillota.